GGUCGAGUGGUGGAAUUGGCAGACACGCAUGAUUAAGGGUCAUGUGCCGCAAGGCGUGAGGGUUCAAGUCCCUCCUCGACCACCA
RNAcentral lists this transfer RNA (85 nucleotides) under Puniceicoccaceae bacterium MED-G32. RNAcentral's name for it is "tRNA-Leu(aag)". It matches the Rfam family "tRNA". Rfam says of the family: Transfer RNA (tRNA) molecules are approximately 80 nucleotides in length. Their secondary structure includes four short double-helical elements and three loops (D, anti-codon, and T loops). Further hydrogen bonds mediate the characteristic L-shaped molecular structure. tRNAs have two regions of fundamental functional importance: the anti-codon, which is responsible for specific mRNA codon recognition, and the 3' end, to which the tRNAs corresponding amino acid is attached (by aminoacyl-tRNA synthetases). tRNAs cope with the degeneracy of the genetic code in two manners: having more than one tRNA (with a specific anti-codon) for a particular amino acid; and 'wobble' base-pairing, i.e. permitting non-standard base-pairing at the 3rd anti-codon position. RNAcentral also lists the same sequence under 4 other names. Lineage: Bacteria; Pseudomonadati; Verrucomicrobiota; Opitutia; Puniceicoccales; Puniceicoccaceae. The record is from RNAcentral.